UGGCUCUAGCAUCGAUGAAGAACGCAGCGAAACGCGAUAAGUAGUGUGAAUUGCAGAAUUCAGUGAAUCAUCGAAUCUUUGAACGCACAUGGCGCCCCCCGGCAUCCCGGGGGGCAUGCCUGUCCGAGCGUCGUUUCAACCCUCGAGCCCUACGUGGCCCGGCGUUGGGGACCUACGGCUCCGGCCGCAGGCUCCGAAAUCCAGUGGCGGACCCGCGACGGCCCCUCCUUUGCGCAGUAGCAUCAGCCUCGCAUCGGGAGCCCGCGGGCGCUCCGGCCUCUAAACCCCACUUUAAAGCCCGUCUCCGGCGGCACCAAGGUUGACCUCGGAUCAGGUAGGGAUACCCGCUGA
This 351-nucleotide unclassified non-coding RNA is filed under the name uncultured fungus. RNAcentral's name for it is "partial contains 5.8S ribosomal RNA and internal transcribed spacer 2". The stretch from base 1 to 133 matches the Rfam family "5.8S ribosomal RNA", at positions 22 to 154 of the family's 154-position model. The record is from RNAcentral. Lineage: Eukaryota; Fungi.